AGUUAUUUUGCAGGAGGCUUCUCAGGGAUGAAGGCAAGCUGGCGUCUAGCUGAUCAGCUGGUUGGUGAGGACUCUUCACGAAGUCAGGGACCAUUGUGAAGAUGGAAGAAUGCCCACAAAAUCCAGCUUGAAACCUGCUGGCUCUGAGGGUCCUGCUGGCUCAGCAGUGCUGUGUUUCUUCUGUCCUAACCAGAAAGUUACCCUUCUAUUUGCGGAGAGAUAUUGCCUAUCGGCCUGGACCAGCAGAUAACUCAGCACUCAUGAUCAGCUGUCAAGCUAUAACAGAGUGUUGAGGCAGUCCCUGAAACCACAGCGCCAUUUUGUAGGAACUGAGAAGCCAACCUCAAGGAAAUCACUCACCCCAAGAAGACUUUUGUUCGGAGCUGAUGUGUUUCUAGCCUGAUGGAGCCCCAGCUAUCCAAAAGAAGAGCUGUUAAGAUGAUUGGAACUUUGGUUUUUCCGAUUCACUCUCUUUUUUCUCUCCAGCCGUCUGCCUUAGACAGCAGGAGAAAAGGAAACACAGCCUCAGAGGUGGGGUCCUUCGGAAGGACUGACAGUGGGGUAGCUACCCUGCGGCUGAGAGCCUGAGUGGGGGCUGAGUGCCUUUGGCUCCUUGUCCAGAGCUCAGCUUUACCACAGAGGUUACCUGCUUACCAUCAACAUUGAAACUUGCCUCUUCCCCUGGGUGUAUUCUCCCUCUUUUGUGUACAGUUUGGUUCCUCCAAACUGCUCUCCCUGUGAAGAAAGCCGAUGGAAUUCAGGGAGCCUGGCCAGCCACCCAGGCCUUUAUAAAGGUCCUCGUACCACAGGAUGUAUGGGAGACCCAAUAAAGACUUUUGCAAAAUGCU
This 848-nucleotide long non-coding RNA is filed under the name Mus caroli (Ryukyu mouse). RNAcentral's name for it is "lncRNA (MGP_CAROLIEiJ_G0005219.1)". Lineage: Eukaryota; Metazoa; Chordata; Mammalia; Rodentia; Muridae. The record is from RNAcentral.